CAGAGUUUUAUUUUGAGCAAAAGCUUGGAUUCUUGCAGAAGAGUUGACUUCAAAAAAAAACAGCAAACAAAAGCAAGCGUUCUGAAGUUUCCCUGCUUUCUGGAGAGAGAACGACGUGCCUUUUUGCAGGCAUUUCUCUGAAUCAGUUUUAUUGACACGGAUGUUUUCAGGCAUAGAACUCUGGUAGCAACGUCAGAACAUAUUUAUUCUAUGUCCUGAGAUGAGAUGAUGAAAGGGAGGAGGGAUACGUAACAACUACUGGGAAAAUGAUUCAAGAAACAAAACAGAAGUGGCCAGCACGACUGUUUCUAGUUGCUGUAGAGCAUCUCCUCCUUUCCUGCUUUCAGCCACAGCCUUCCUGUCCCACCCCUCCCGAGCUCACUGUGGAGGUGCCAGAAUCGUAGAAUAGAAUCAUAGAAUCA
This 422-nucleotide long non-coding RNA is filed under the name Gallus gallus (chicken). RNAcentral describes it as "lncRNA (ENSGALG00010003578.1)". Lineage: Eukaryota; Metazoa; Chordata; Aves; Galliformes; Phasianidae. The record is from RNAcentral.